This 2627-nucleotide long non-coding RNA is filed under the name Homo sapiens (human). RNAcentral describes it as "HSALNT0116965". Lineage: Eukaryota; Metazoa; Chordata; Mammalia; Primates; Hominidae. The record is from RNAcentral.
GACAGGGAGCAGGAUCCACCGUCGCUCAUCUCGUAAAAGCCUGGACGGAGCAGACAAGGCAGAUCAGCCUGACGAAGCGGCCAUCUCCCUGCACGGACACUAGGAUACCUGGAAUGGAAUUUCAGCCCAAGAGGGGCUGGCGGGAUAGGCUUCACCUCUGCCUGUGCUGCGUGCCUGCCCCUGUGUCCGGGAGGUCAGGGCGCCCUGGUACCUGAGCUGGGCCUGCUGUCGCUGUCCAGGGCCUCCCCUGAGGCUGUGCCCACAUCCAGCUGCAGCUUGCUAAUCUGCAGGUCCAGCUGGUCCAGGUGCGGUGGCGUCCUUUCACUCGGCCGCCUCUGGGUCCUUGGUGCCUGGGGAGCACAAACCUUUUGACUUUUCAAGAAGGUCCCGUCUACGUCUGCAGGACUCCACCACUCAGGAUUCACGCCGCGCUUGUAACCCCGACCGCGCUUGUAACCCCGACCGCUGUCCCGAACUUGGGGUUUGUUUGACUGUGGUUUUCAUUAACUCUUUCUUAGGGUCAGACAUUGUGCUCACAGUCACAAAAUAUAUGUGGCCAGGAAGGAGGACAGUCCACUGCAAGGCCAGCCCUAGAGCGUGAUCUCCACGCAUGUCCAUGAUUGGACCGACUCACUCCACAGCAGCAAGCGAGCCCUGGAUGGCCGUGCUCCACUUCCCUCUGCAAGCGUUCAGGCUAACUCCAGGCGGCCUUGCUCACGGUGUGCUCUGGGGGCAUCUAUGCCAAACCCCUGGGCCUGGGGAAGGGGCAUGAGGGCCUGGUAUAAAGGCGCUCAUACCAAGCCUCUCCAGGCAGUGGGAUCAGCUGGGCACACCUGCAGACCCCAGGCUCCAGGCCCCACUCGUUUCUUGAGACUCUACCAGGUAAGCCUGGGAACCUGCAUUUUAACAAGCUUCCCAGGGACCACACAAGUUCCUUAAGACAACAAAAAGUUUGAGGAUUUCUAUUCCAGGGGGUACCGUUAAAAAAAAUAAGUUAAUCCCUUUCUUUGCAAUGCAUUCUUUACGCACCACAAGAGAAUGACCUGAUUUCCCUGUGCUGUGCCUUUUCCCUGGGCAAGUCAACAGUCCAGACAUCGCAACACCUUUACGGCACAUGUGGAGGAUAAACAUGAAAAAUGCCUUACUGUUCAGGAUAUGGAGAUGGGAUCUGAAACACCUCCUUUCUAUCCCUGAGAGCUAGGAUGCACAAAGGAAACAUUCUAUGCCUGAAUUCCAAGGCUAUCCCCUCCAUUCAGGAGAGAGGUAAAUGCUGUUACCUAAGUUUAAAGGAGGUCUGUCAAUCAACAGCAAAGGGGUCCCUGGUCCACAGACUGGACUUGUGGAUAAAAAGGAGCACUGAAGUCUUGCAGGUUUCUGGGGCUGCCUGGCUCUAAUGCGUGGCCCUGAGCAAGUUCUCACCCUGCCUCCCUUGGUUCCCGUGUGCUCACAAAGCAAGCACAGCCGGCCCAAGAAAAAUGCCAGGCAUCAUGUUGAUGCGGCAGAAUCAGACGCGCAGCUUGCUCCUGCAGCAUGGAAUGUGGGAAGCUGCCAGGGAAAAGGAAUUGUUGCAAGCUGCCACUUUCAGAACAAGUCAUGACCAGCCAUGUCAAGACGGGGAAAUUCUUCAGGAUAAGAUUUCACUGCAGACUCCCGGAGCCCUUCUGUGUCUCUCCCGCUGUGGAGACAGCGCCCACUGGUGAAGGAUGGGGUUUUCAGUCUACUCAUGGGCCCUGAGUUCCAGGGAGUGGAUGAAGUCCUUCUAUCUAGGGCUUGUUGGGGAACCUAACCCUUAUGAAUAUGGGAAUGGCCGGCACUUCUUGGGAACGACAAGUUUCCUCACAGACAUACAUGAGGACACAGUCAACCCUCUCUGGACUGGCCACACAGCAGCAAACCCACUUGGGUCGGAGGGCACGGGGAUCUCAUCAGCUUAGAAACCCAGAACAGGGAGAUCCCAACUUCUGAAAUCAUUUUCCCUUUUGUUGCAGCAAUACAAGUCACUCAUCUAUUUAUUCAGCAAAAUCCUACUAAGCACCCUCUACUGCACUCUCUUGUGGCACAGUAAUUAAAACGCUGCAGCACAUUGCGACAAGCCUUGAAGUGAUGAGUGCUGCUAUUUUCCUGACUGUUUAAAUCCCUGCAAAUGGUAACAAUCGUUCUCACCUGAGAAUUCCUGCAGGCUAAAUCUGCUCAAGGUCUGAUAAAUGUUCUUCCUGCCUUCACACCUGAAUGAUGACCAAUGGACAGGUGAGCACCAGGGUGGGCGGAGGGAACCCUGAGUUAGCCGGGAGCUGCUGGAGUGUGUAACUGUUCCAGCAAGCAAGGCUGUUCAUUGUAUUCAACACUAUAGAACUGCUAUCACUCCUAAUGUUUUUCCCUGUAAGAAAAAUGUAAAAGUGUUAAGCCCUGGGCUGAUGUCACACAAAUUCAAUUAUUCUUCUCUUUUGAUCACAUAAUCUGUCCCGAGAACAAAGUUUCAAAACAAAGUCUGCGUGUUCCUUCUGGUCCCCACAUUAAAAAAUAAUAAUAAAAUAAACAAAAAUCUGUUUGAUCUUCUCUUCCAAAAGGCUACUUGUAAUUAGAGACUGAGCGCUUGCAAGUUUGAUUUGUAUAUUUCUUAAGCCAAG